This 161-nucleotide unclassified non-coding RNA is filed under the name uncultured Penicillium. Its description in RNAcentral is "sequence contains ITS2". The record is from RNAcentral. Lineage: Eukaryota; Fungi; Ascomycota; Eurotiomycetes; Eurotiales; Aspergillaceae.
CUGCCCUCAAGCACGGCUUGUGUGUUGGGCGCCGUCUCCCCCCCCGGGGGACGGGCCUGAAAGGCAGCGGCGGCGUCGCGUCCGGUCCUCGAGCGUAUGGGGCUUCGUCACCCGCUCUGUAGGCCCGGCCGGCGCCUGCCGACCAUCAUCCUUUUUUUUCA